Long non-coding RNA from Marmota flaviventris (yellow-bellied marmot), 505 nucleotides. RefSeq lists it as uncharacterized. NCBI's taxonomy places the organism in Eukaryota, Metazoa, Chordata, Mammalia, Rodentia, Sciuridae. The record is from RefSeq and is a predicted model, not a curated record.
UCUAGGCGAGGAGUGGGGCAGUUGAAGACUCCAAGUGCCUAGAAAACUCACAAACGGUUUAUAAUGAUGACCAAGGUCUAACUAUCUUGCCCCUACAGCACCUCUGGCUGUCCGGAUUGGAGGAGCAGCGGUGUGUUUUGAAUGAAGAAAAUUAAACAGUUCCAUUGUCUGGCUGCCUAGAUGCAAUCAAGUCAAGAUGAGGUCAUUGGGGUGGACUCUUCUAAUGCAACAGGGCUGGGUCCUUAUAACAAGAGAAAAAUGCACGUGAAGACAAACAUACAGGGGAAUAUGUGAGGACAGAGGCAAAGAUCUGAGUGAUGCUGCAGUAGACCAAGGAAUGCCUCAGUAUUGUCAGCCACCACUGGAAACUGGGAAGAGACAAGGACGGAUUCUCCCCCAACAGAUUUCAGAGGGAGCCUGGUCUGGGCUGACACCUUGAUUUUGGACUUAGAGCCACCCAAAUGAAGCUGUGUGGUGGCUCGUGAUUGUGUGCCCAGCCAGACUG